RNAcentral lists this non-coding RNA (966 nucleotides) under Batagur borneoensis (biuku). Its description in RNAcentral is "12S ribosomal RNA". It matches the Rfam family "Bacterial small subunit ribosomal RNA". Lineage: Eukaryota; Metazoa; Chordata; Testudines; Geoemydidae. The record is from RNAcentral.
CAAAGAUUUGGUCCUAGCCUUACUGUUAUUUUUUGCUAAACUUACACAUGCAAGUAUCAACACACCAGUGAGAAUGCCCUAACAGUCCCCCCCCGACAAAAGGAGCUGGUAUCAGGCACACCAUGACAGCCCACAACACCUAGCUUUGCCACACCCCCAAGGGUACUUCAGCAGUGACAAAAAUUAAGCAAUGAACGCAAGUUUGACUUAGUUACAGCAAACAGAGUUGGUCAAUCUUGUGCCAGCCACCGCGGUUAUACAAGAAACUCAAGCUAACAGAAAACCGGCGUAAAAUGUGACUAAAAUAUAAUCUAAGAAAUUAAGGCGGCCCCUCACCUAACUGUCAUACGUAAAAGUAUACAUCACCCCGCUACGAAAGUAACCUUAAUGUAACAGAACUAUUCGAACUCACGAUCGCUAAGACACAAACUGGGAUUAGAUACCCCACUAUGCUUAACCCUAAACUUAGACAUUCCAUAUACAAGAAUGUCCGCCAGAGAACUACGAGCAAAACGCUUAAAACUCAAAGGACUUGGCGGUACCUCAAACCCCCCUAGAGGAGCCUGUUCUAUAAUCGAUAAUCCACGAUACACCUCACCAUCUCUUGCCAAUUCCGCCUAUAUACCACCGUCACCAGCCUACCCCAUGAGGGAUUUAAAAGUAGGCAAGAUAACUAAAAACAGUUAAUAAGCCAGGUCAAGGUGUAGCUAACUGAGAUGGAAGAAAUGGGCUACAUUUUCUACGCUAGAAAUCAAUUUACGGAAGGAAACUAUGAAAUCAGUCCUACAAGUAGGAUUUAGCAGUAAACCUGGAUCAGAACGCCUAAUUUAAGCCGGUCCUGAGGUGCGCACACACCGCCCGUCACCCUCCUCAAAUAUCAAAUAACCAUUUAAUAAACCACAACAAACAAAUAGAGGAGGUAAGUCGUAACAAGGUAAGUGCACCGGAAGGUGUACUUGGAACAUU